This 396-nucleotide ribosomal RNA is filed under the name uncultured bacterium. RNAcentral describes it as "partial 16S ribosomal RNA". It matches the Rfam family "Bacterial small subunit ribosomal RNA", at positions 523 to 918 of the family's 1533-position model. The record is from RNAcentral.
AUACGUAGGGGGCGAGCGUUGUCCGGAAUGAUUGGGCGUAAAGGGCGCGUAGGCGGCCUGUUAAGUCUGGAGUGAAAGUCCUGUUUUCAAGAUGGGAAUUGCUUUGGAUACUGAUGGGCUUGAGUGCAGGAGAGGUUAUCGGAAUUCCCGGUGUAGCGGUGAAAUGCGUAGAGAUCGGGAGGAACACCAGUGGCGAAGGCGAUCUAUUGGCGGAAAACUGACGCUUGGGCCGGAAAGCGGGGGGAGCAAACAGAAUUAGUAACCCGGGUGGUCCACGCCUUAAACGAUGAAUACUAGGUGUGGGGGGACUGACCCCCUCCGUGCCGCAGUUAACACAAUAAGUAUUCCGCCUGGGGAGUACGGCCGCAAGGUUGAAACUCAAAUGAAUUGACGGGG